UGGACUUUAAAUUUCUUGUAUAAGCCAUGGC
RNAcentral lists this non-coding RNA (31 nucleotides) under Mus musculus (house mouse). Lineage: Eukaryota; Metazoa; Chordata; Mammalia; Rodentia; Muridae. The record is from RNAcentral.